CCUACGGGAGGCAGCAGUGGGGAAUCUUGCGCAAUGGGCGAAAGCCUGACGCAGCAACGCCGCGUGCGGGAUGAAGGCCUUCGGGCUGUAAACCGCUUUCAGCAGGAACGAAAAUGACGGUACCUGCAGAAGAAGGAGCGACCAACUACGUGCCAGCAGCCGCGGUGACACGUAGGCUCCAAGCGUUGUCCGGAUUUAUUGGGCGUAAAGAGCUCGUAGGCGGUCUAAUAAGUCGGGUGUGAAAACUCUGGGCUCAACCCGGAGACGCCAUCCGAUACUGUUAUGACUUGAGUUCAGGAGGGGAGCGGGGAAUUCCUAGUGUAGCGGUGAAAUGCGCAGAUAUUAGGAGGAACACCGGUGGCGAAGGCGCCGCUCUGGACUGAAACUGACGCUGAGGAGCGAAAGCAUGGGUAGCAAACAGGAUUAGAUACCCUGGUAGUCCAUGCCGUAAACGGUGGGCACUAGGUGUGGGUUUCAACUACGAAAUCCGCGCCGUCGCUAACGCAUUAAGUGCCCCGCCUGGGGAGGUACGGUCGCGAGACGAAACGUACGAAGAAGUAAGUAGCGUUGAGAGUUGCGACGGCGACGACGAGGGAGAGG
RNAcentral lists this ribosomal RNA (600 nucleotides) under uncultured bacterium. RNAcentral describes it as "bacterial SSU rRNA". The stretch from base 1 to 520 matches the Rfam family "Bacterial small subunit ribosomal RNA", at positions 338 to 873 of the family's 1533-position model. The record is from RNAcentral.